RNAcentral lists this ribosomal RNA (921 nucleotides) under Triticum aestivum (bread wheat). RNAcentral's name for it is "partial small subunit ribosomal RNA". Lineage: Eukaryota; Viridiplantae; Streptophyta; Magnoliopsida; Poales; Poaceae. The record is from RNAcentral.
AUGCGCAACCUCCUCUCGAAUUCGUUUGAGCUCAACAAGGAGGAACGGCCCCCGGGGAAUGUCGAUAUUGAGCUAGGUUUGCAAGGCGACCUGUCGGGUUCCGCACAGCCAGGUUUCGAUGGCUUCUAUGAACAGGUCAGGGAGAUUGAUAAGUUGCUUGAGACGUUGACAAAACUACUGAAGGAUCUUCAGAACUCAAACGAGGAAUCAAAAAUUGUCACUAAGGCAUCAGCUAUGAAAGAUAUCAAAAGGCGCAUGGAGAAGGAUGUUAAUGAAGUGACAAAGGUUGCACGGCUCACAAAAUCAAAACUUCAGCAAUUGAAUAAAGAGAAUCUUGCAAACAGAGAAAAGCCGGUCUUUCACAAGGGAUCAAGUGUGGACCGAUCUCGGACCUCAGUGACAAUUACAUUGACUAUGAGGUUGAGAGAACGCAUAUCAGAGUUUCAGACACUAAGAGAAGCAAUCCAGACGGAGUACAGGGAAGUUGUAGAGCGGCGUGUUUUCACCGUAACGGGCGAGCGUGCUGAUGAAGAGACUAUUGACAAGCUGAUAGAAACAGGCGACAGUGAGCAAAUUUUUCAAAGAGCUAUUCAGGAACAAGGGCGUGGAAGGGUGCUCGACACACUCCAAGAGAUCCAGGAGCGGCAUGACAUGGUGAAAGAGAUCGAGACUAAGCUCCUUGAGCUGCAGCAGAUUUUCCUCGACUUGUCGGUACUGGUUGAGGCGCAAGGCGAGAUCCUGAACAACAUCGAAGUGCAGGUUACAGGUGCAGUGGAGCAUGUUCAGACUGGAACAAACCUCCUUCAGAAGGCGAGGGUCCUGCAAAAAAACACGCGGAAAUGGACCUGCAUAGCGAUCAUCAUCCUGCUGAUCAUCGUACUCGUCAUCGUCCUCUCGUUGAAACCGUGGGCAAAGAAGUAG